RNAcentral lists this ribosomal RNA (337 nucleotides) under uncultured bacterium. RNAcentral's name for it is "bacterial SSU rRNA". It matches the Rfam family "Bacterial small subunit ribosomal RNA", at positions 150 to 494 of the family's 1533-position model. The record is from RNAcentral.
CGGGAAACUGGUGCUAAUACCGGAUACGUACGUAAGGGGGCAUCCCUUUACGUAGAAGGGCGAUGCAAAUCGCUACUGAUGGAUGGGUCCGCGUCCCAUUAGCUAGUUGGCCCGGUAAUGGCCUACCAAGGCGACGAUGGGUAGCCGGCCUGAGAGGGUGGCCGGCCACACUGGGACUGAUAUUCCGCCCAGACUCCUACGGGAGGAAUCAGUGGGGAAUCUUCCCCAAUGGGCGAAAGCCUGACGGAGCAACGCCGCGUGAGUGAACAAAGCUUUCUGGUCGUAAAACUCUGUCUUGGGGGAAGAAAAAAAUGACGGUACCCCAAGAGGAAGCCCC